RNAcentral lists this long non-coding RNA (1717 nucleotides) under Hordeum vulgare. Its description in RNAcentral is "long non-coding RNA (HVUL_LNC006632)". The record is from RNAcentral. Lineage: Eukaryota; Viridiplantae; Streptophyta; Magnoliopsida; Poales; Poaceae.
AAAAAGGGAGCCCGUUGCGGCACCCUGCCAGAGGGGGAGAUCAUCUCCCAUGGCCAUCUUCAUCAUCCUCGCGAAGGCCAUGAUGAUAAGGGAGUAGUCCACCCUCGGGGCUGAGGGUUUGUACUAGUAGCUAUGUGUUUAAUCUCUCUCUCGUGUUCUUGAGAUAUCAUGAUCUUGAUAUAUCACUGGCCUUGUUAACAUAGUUAGAUCAUAUGGUGUUUGUCCCAUGCUAUGAUUGUGUUGAAUUGAAUCUAUCACUUUAGGAUCUUGUUAUGUUGGAUUGAAUAUUCAGGUUCGAGAGCACAUGAUGUAUGUCUUGCAUGCGGAUACCCGUAGUGACAUUGGACUAUUCAAGUGAUUCACUUGAUAUAUGUUUUGGCACUCAACUCGUGGAUUCUCGAGGUGACAUUGGGGUACUCUAUGCAUAGGGGUUGAUGCACAUUUCCAUACUAUGUUCUCGAUAGAAAUAUUGUGGUGCUCCUUGAAGUUCUUCGUGUUGGAUUACAUAUCAAGAAUCUGAAAUUGUUUGAUGCAUGUUGUAUAAUUAGCCCACGGAUACUUGAGGCGACAUUGGAGUAUCUAGGUGAUAUUAUUGUUGAUUGAUAUGUAUCAAUGGUGUUCUUUUAGUACGAACUCUUGGAUAGAUCGAUCGGAAAGGAUAACUUGUUAUCUUAGUACGAACUCCUGGAAAGAUUGAUCGGAAAGAGUAACUUUGAGGUGGUUUCGUACCUUACAAACAAUUUCUACUUAUGUUCUCCGCUAGAAUGGAACUUUGAAGUGAUUCUUCAUUGCACAUUGAGGGAUUGUUAUUUGAUCCAAUUAUAUUAGCAUUGUUGAGAGUUUGCACUAGUGAAAGUAUGGACCAUAGGCCUCAUUUUCAAGCAUUGCAAUAUCGUUUCUGCUCAUUUUCGUUACUUGUUACCUUUUGUUUUUAUUCAUUAGGAUUAUAAAAAUAUAUUUCUACCAUCCAUAUUACACUUGUAUCACCAUCUCUUCACCGAACUAGUGCACCUAUGCAAUUUACCAUCGUAAUGGGUGUGUUGGGGACACAAGAGACUUUUUAUUUUUUUGUUGCAGGGUUGUGUAAGUGAGACAGUAUCCAUCCUACGCCUCCCACCAAUUGAUAAACCUUAUAUCAUCAACUUGAGAGAAACUCGCUACUGUCCUACAAAAGUAUGUGCUUGGAGGCCCAACACGAGUCUAUAAGAAUAAGGUUGCGUAGUAUACAUCAAUGGUGGCUUCAAUUUCCCCCUCUCAGAAGGAAGUUUCCCCGGCAGAAUCUAUUUGUUGGAGAGCAAAAGGGCCUCUACCUAGGUUUCCUCCACAAGACGGCGGUGCUUCGACCCGAAGAGAUGACUUAUUUUUUUCUAGGAUAAAACACACCAUAUAGGAGAAGAUGGUCGCGAGAGGGCUAGCAGGGGGGCACAAGCCAUGAGGGCGUGGCCUCAGGGGGGGCGCCCUGUUGGCUUCUAGCCAGCAGGUGGCCCCUCUCUGGUAUAUUUUUGGCUCAUAAAUUCUUAAAAAUUAUGAAAAAAAUCUUUGUAAAGUUUCACGUCAUUUGGAGCAAGUUAAUUUUCCACCUUUUUCUCGGUUUCCCGGCCUAGAAUUCCAGUUUCCAAAUAUUUCCCUCUCAGUGAUGUACCUUGCAUAUUCUGAGAGAAGGAGGAUAAGAAUUUUAUAAUGAUGAGGGAUAAUGGACUCGAUUAAACGAAUAUCA